UGGCUGAUUAGCUAGUUGGUGGGGUAAAGGCCUACCAAGGCGACGAUCAGUAGCUGGUCUGAGAGGACGACCAGCCACACUGGGACUGAGACACGGCCCAGACUCCUACGGGAGGCAGCAGUGGGGAAUUUUGGACAAUGGGCGCAAGCCUGAUCCAGCAAUGCCGCGUGUGUGAAGAAGGCCUUCGGGUUGUAAAGCACUUUUGUCCGGAAAGAAAUCAUUCUGGCUAAUACCCGGAGUGGAUGACGGUACCGGAAGAAUAAGCACCGGCUAACUACGUGCCAGCAGCCGCGGUAAUACGUAGGGUGCGAGCGUUAAUCGGAAUUACUGGGCGUAAAGCGUGCGCAGGCGGUUUGCUAAGACCGAUGUGAAAUCCCCGGGCUCAACCUGGGAACUGCAUUGGUGACUGGCAGGCUAGAGUAUGGCAGAGGGGGG
RNAcentral lists this ribosomal RNA (435 nucleotides) under Burkholderia pseudomallei 354e. Its description in RNAcentral is "bacterial SSU rRNA". It matches the Rfam family "Bacterial small subunit ribosomal RNA", at positions 234 to 661 of the family's 1533-position model. Lineage: Bacteria; Pseudomonadati; Pseudomonadota; Betaproteobacteria; Burkholderiales; Burkholderiaceae. The record is from RNAcentral.